UGCCUAAUACAUGCAAGUCGAGCGGACCUUGGCUUUCUUCGGAAAGCCCUUGGUUAGCGGCGGACGGGUGAGUAACACGUAGGCAACCUGCCUGAAGGAUCGGGAUAACUAUCGGAAACGAUAGCUAAGACCGAAUACAUGGUUUCUCCGCAUGGGGAGACUAGGAAACGCGGAGCAAUCUGUGGCCUUUGGAUGGGCCUGCGGCGCAUUAGCUAGUUGGUGAGGUAAUGGCUCACCAAGGCGACGAUGCGUAGCCGACCUGAGAGGGUGAACGGCCACACUGGGACUGAGACACGGCCCAGACUCCUACGGGAGGCAGCAGUAGGGAAUCUUCCGCAAUGGACGCAAGUCUGACGGAGCAACGCCGCGUGAGUGAUGAAGGUUUUCGGAUCGUAAAGCUC
This 401-nucleotide ribosomal RNA is filed under the name uncultured organism. Its description in RNAcentral is "bacterial SSU rRNA". It matches the Rfam family "Bacterial small subunit ribosomal RNA", at positions 45 to 433 of the family's 1533-position model. The record is from RNAcentral.